AGAGGUCAUCCGGCCGGAUCAGGAGCAUCACUCGAAAUGAUGUAGUACGCCCAAAAGUGUAUUAGGGGUUCGAGUCCCCUGGCCUCUG
This 88-nucleotide transfer RNA is filed under the name Rhodocytophaga rosea. Its description in RNAcentral is "Rhodocytophaga sp. 172606-1 tRNA-Ser". The record is from RNAcentral. Lineage: Bacteria; Pseudomonadati; Bacteroidota; Cytophagia; Cytophagales; Rhodocytophagaceae.